This is an unclassified non-coding RNA of Gorilla gorilla gorilla (western lowland gorilla), 87 nucleotides long. The record is from Ensembl. NCBI's taxonomy places the organism in Eukaryota, Metazoa, Chordata, Mammalia, Primates, Hominidae.
AAAAAGUGUUGGUCUUUUUGCUCUUUUGUAAUUAAAUCCGGAUGUACCUCAAAAGACUUAAGACUGUGGUGAUAAGAUGCUUUCCUC